RNAcentral lists this ribosomal RNA (1744 nucleotides) under Paenibacillus rigui. Its description in RNAcentral is "bacterial LSU rRNA". It matches the Rfam family "Bacterial large subunit ribosomal RNA", at positions 1185 to 2925 of the family's 2925-position model. Lineage: Bacteria; Bacillati; Bacillota; Bacilli; Caryophanales; Paenibacillaceae. The record is from RNAcentral.
AACACACCACCGAAGCUAUGACCUGAACAAGUAAUUGUUCUUGGGUAGGGGAGCGUUGUAUGUAGGUUGAAGGUGUACUGUAAAGAGCGCUGGACAGCAUACAAGUGAGAAUGCCGGUAUGAGUAACGAAAAGAUCAGUGAGAAUCUGAUCCGCCGAAAGCCUAAGGGUUCCUGAGGAAGGCUCGUCCGCUCAGGGUAAGUCGGGACCUAAGGCGAGGCCGAAAGGCGUAGUCGAAGGACAACAGGUUGAAAUUCCUGUACCACCGUGAACCGUUAUGAGCAAUGGGGUGACGCAGAAGGAUAGUGACGCGGACUGAUGGAUGUCCGUCCAAGCAGAGAGGCUGGUGUGUAGGCAAAUCCGCACAUCGUAAGGCUGGUCUGUGAUGGGGAGUGAAAAUUACAGUAGCGAAGGUCAUGAGUUCAGGCUGCCAAGAAAAGCCUCUAGCCAGGGAGAAGGUGCCCGUACCGCAAACCGACACAGGUAGGCGAGCAGAGCAUGCUAAGGCGCGCGGAAGAACUCUCGUUAAGGAACUCGGCAAAAUGACCCCGUAACUUCGGGAGAAGGGGUGCCUCGGUAGGGUGAAUAGCCCGAGGGGGCCGCAGUGAAAAGGCCCAAGCGACUGUUUAGCAAAAACACAGGUCUGUGCGAAGCCGCAAGGCGAAGUAUACGGGCUGACGCCUGCCCGGUGCUGGAAGGUUAAGGGGAGUGGUUAGGGGUAACCCGAAGCUAUGAACCGAAGCCCCAGUAAACGGCGGCCGUAACUAUAACGGUCCUAAGGUAGCGAAAUUCCUUGUCAGGUAAAUUCUGACCCGCACGAAUGGCGUAACGACUUGGGCGCUGUCUCAACGAGAGAUCCGGUGAAAUUUUAAUACCUGUGAAGAUGCAGGUUACCCGCGACAAGACGGAAAGACCCCAUGGAGCUUUACUGCAGCUUGAUAUUGGACUUUGGUACGAUCUGUACAGGAUAGGUGGGAGCCUGAGAAACCUGAGCGCCAGCUUGGGUGGAGGCGACGUUGGGAUACCACCCUGAUCGUAUCGGAGUUCUAACCUGGUACCGUAGAUCCGGUACGGGGACAGUGUCAGGUGGGCAGUUUGACUGGGGCGGUCGCCUCCUAAAAAGUAACGGAGGCGCCCCAAGGUUCCCUCAGAAUGGUUGGAAAUCAUUCGAAGAGUGCAAAGGCAUAAGGGAGCUUGACUGCGAGACAAACAGGUCGAGCAGGGACGAAAGUCGGGCUUAGUGAUCCGGUGGUACCGCAUGGAAGGGCCAUCGCUCAACGGAUAAAAGCUACCCUGGGGAUAACAGGCUUAUCUCCCCCAAGAGUCCACAUCGACGGGGAGGUUUGGCACCUCGAUGUCGGCUCAUCGCAUCCUGGGGCUGAAGUAGGUCCCAAGGGUUGGGCUGUUCGCCCAUUAAAGCGGUACGCGAGCUGGGUUCAGAACGUCGUGAGACAGUUCGGUCCCUAUCUGUCGUGGGCGUAGGAAAUUUGAGAGGAGCUGUCCUUAGUACGAGAGGACCGGGAUGGACGUACCGCUGGUGUACCAGUUGUUCCGCCAGGAGCACGGCUGGAUAGCUACGUACGGACGGGAUAAGCGCUGAAAGCAUCUAAGCGUGAAGCCCCCCUCAAGAUGAGAUUUCCCAGUAUGUAAGACCCCUUGAAGACGACGAGGUAGAUAGGUUCGGGGUGGAAGUGCCGUAAGGUAUGGAGCUGACGAAUACUAAUCGGUCGAGGGCUUAUCCAAGAA